CAGUAGCCGCGGUAAUACGUAGGGUGCAAGCGUUAAUCGGAAUUACUGGGCGUAAAGCGUGCGCAGGCGGUUAUAUAAGACAGAUGUGAAAUCCCCGGGCUCAACCUGGGAACUGCAUUUGUGACUGUAUAGCUAGAGUACGGCAGAGGGGGAUGGAAUUCCGCGUGUAGCAGUGAAAUGCGUAGAUAUGCGGAGGAACACCGAUGGCGAAGGCAAUCCCCUGGGCCUGUACUGACGCUCAUGCACGAAAGCGUGGGGAGCAAACAGGAUUAGAUACCCGAGUAGUCCCUGUCUCUUAUAC
This 301-nucleotide ribosomal RNA is filed under the name uncultured bacterium. RNAcentral describes it as "partial 16S ribosomal RNA". It matches the Rfam family "Bacterial small subunit ribosomal RNA", at positions 509 to 807 of the family's 1533-position model. The record is from RNAcentral.